RNAcentral lists this transfer RNA (64 nucleotides) under Cavia porcellus (domestic guinea pig). It matches the Rfam family "tRNA", at positions 1 to 62 of the family's 71-position model. From Rfam's summary of the family: Transfer RNA (tRNA) molecules are approximately 80 nucleotides in length. Their secondary structure includes four short double-helical elements and three loops (D, anti-codon, and T loops). Further hydrogen bonds mediate the characteristic L-shaped molecular structure. tRNAs have two regions of fundamental functional importance: the anti-codon, which is responsible for specific mRNA codon recognition, and the 3' end, to which the tRNAs corresponding amino acid is attached (by aminoacyl-tRNA synthetases). tRNAs cope with the degeneracy of the genetic code in two manners: having more than one tRNA (with a specific anti-codon) for a particular amino acid; and 'wobble' base-pairing, i.e. permitting non-standard base-pairing at the 3rd anti-codon position. The record is from Rfam by way of RNAcentral. Lineage: Eukaryota; Metazoa; Chordata; Mammalia; Rodentia; Caviidae.
GGAGGUUUAGCUCAGCGGCAUAAGCACCUGCCUUGCAAGCAGGUGGUCGUGAGUUCAAUCCCCA